This is a long non-coding RNA of Stegostoma tigrinum, 202 nucleotides long. RefSeq lists it as uncharacterized. The record is from RefSeq and is a predicted model, not a curated record. NCBI's taxonomy places the organism in Eukaryota, Metazoa, Chordata, Chondrichthyes, Orectolobiformes, Stegostomatidae. The transcript has 3 exons.
GCUGUUGGAUGGUCGCAUUAACAUUCAUGUGUUUUGUUUAGAUUAAGGAAUUAGUGGGUGAAAAUCUGCAAAGGACUUCUAACAAUGUAGAUUGAAAUAGUACACACGGCUGCUACUAAGCACUGGUGCUGGAGGGAGUGGAUGCUUGUGGAUGUAAUGCCAAUCACGCGGGCUGCUUUUCCUGGAUGGGCCAAGCUUCUAG